CCUACGGGCGGCAGCAGUGGGGAAUAUUGGACAAUGGGGGGAACCCUGAUCCAGCCAUGCCGCGUGUGUGAAGAAGGCCCUCGGGUUGUAAAGCACUUUCAGUGAGGAAGAACGCCUGGUGGUUAAUACCCAUCAGGAAAGACAUCACUCACAGAAGAAGCACCGGCUAACUCCGUGCCAGCAGCCGCGGUAAUACGGAGGGUGCGAGCGUUAAUCGGAAUUACUGGGCGUAAAGCGCGCGUAGGUGGCUUGAUAAGCCGGUUGUGAAAGCCCCGGGCUCAACCUGGGAACGGCAUCCGGAACUGUCAAGCUAGAGUGCAGGAGAGGAAGGUAGAAUUCCCGGUGUAGCGGUGAAAUGCGUAGAGAUCGGGAGGAAUACCAGUGGCGAAGGCGGCCUUCUGGACUGACACUGACGCUGAGGUGCGAAAGCGUGGGUAGCAAACAGGAUUAGAUACCCUAGUAGUC
This 465-nucleotide ribosomal RNA is filed under the name Vreelandella stevensii. RNAcentral's name for it is "partial 16S ribosomal RNA". It matches the Rfam family "Bacterial small subunit ribosomal RNA", at positions 338 to 795 of the family's 1533-position model. The record is from RNAcentral. Lineage: Bacteria; Pseudomonadati; Pseudomonadota; Gammaproteobacteria; Oceanospirillales; Halomonadaceae.